Molecule: long non-coding RNA, 501 nt
Filed under: Hordeum vulgare
Lineage: Eukaryota; Viridiplantae; Streptophyta; Magnoliopsida; Poales; Poaceae
Description: long non-coding RNA (HVUL_LNC020718)
Source: RNAcentral
CCAUGCGACGUUCCCCAACAGCCAUCAACGAGUGGAGAACAAGGAGGCGUCGACUGAUGGUCUGAUUCAUAAUUAAGCAUAUCUAUUCCAUGAGGGUCUCUGGUUUGUUAAUGAUUGCAUGAUUAGGCAUGGAUAAGAUGAGCUUUUAGUUCAGGACCCCGCGGGCAAUGGGAAUCCAAAGAAUGAUGACACACAUAUAACAAGCUUCGUCCAAUUGACAUAUACAAUGUGAAAUAAACAAUCGAACCACCAGUACCUAGGACAAAAUUAUAGCACGCCAUUGAGUUUCGUGUCAUACCAAAAUCGGACAAGAGGUGUCGUACAUGUAGUAGUUUUAUCUGCAAUAACAAGUGGUUCCUAAAACCGGAGUGAGAUAUACUGUGUUAAAAGAUGAUCUCUUAAAUAAGAGAAGAUAAAUAUUUUUUUAUAAAUUCUUUCUCAUUCAUCUCAGUAUUAAUCCUACAUGUCACACCAUUGUAUAUGCCCUAACAUAGAGAAAAA